AUGUAUGAAAAUGUGUUUGAUAGAACAAAAUGUCUAUAUGCUGCCAUUGGAGAUUCAUGGCGCAUUAAGCCCCCAAACUAUUUUUAAUUUGUGCCUUUUACCCUGGAAACCCUCGUUACAGACAUGGCGAAACCGCUUUUGUGUCAACCCAGCCAUAAAAAGAAGAUGUCAAGUGACUGAUAGGGCCAGCAUAGGAUUCACGGAAGUUAGUUUCACCUCCAGAAGGAUAACUCCUCUUCAUUUUUUCAACCAGACAUGAUGGGAAGUCACAUACAUAAGAACGGGUGUAAUUCACAUGAUGUCAUACCCUCUUCAGGGUUUGUAUCCCUCUGUGAAACUCCAUCGAGUUUAUAUGGACCACCAGAAUCUACUAGGGAAAAAAAAACAUUCCAUUUUCAAAAGGUAUGAAGAUGAUGAAUAAUUUCAACAAGGCAAUAUGUUGUCUUGCUAAAUGUAUACAUAUUUCGAACGGCACAAAUGCAAUUAACAUUUCUAGAUGAGGUGGGAAUGGAAGCGAAGUAACGCUAAUAAUUCCAGCAACCUACCUGUAUGGAAAGCCUAUCCGGUGUGUUUGUGUCCGAUCCCAAUUCAUUUUUUGCUUCGAUACAAAUGGAAUCUUCUGAAUUGUACCGCUUUCUUGGGAGACUAACGGUGUACACUUGCUUGGGAAACUAACAGGUCCAAGGCACGGACACUCGUUAGCCAGUUUGGGUUGAUUAUUGUCUGAAAACACAGGAUUAAUGGACAAAAGAAAUGUGUCGUCGUUGCAAGAAUAAUCCAAUCAUCUUUCUUCAUCCGCGAAACCGUCAAACCCAUCUAAGAACACUCCCAGACACAAAAAAGGAGAACUGUGUCAAAUUUUGUCAAAAUCUGCAUAGGCAAAAAACAUGCGAACCAAAGGCGUAGGUUUGGAUAGGAACGGUAGGGACAUAACACUAGCAACUUUUCAGAAUGCUCAAAUUGUCCCCACCAAUUUUUAAGCAACCUUAUUUAGAGUAUAUUCAGUUCAGUUAUAAGUUAUAUAGAUUGUCUUCCCAUAUUUUGUAAUGUUAGGAUUUACCCUACCAUUGUUAAGUGAAUUAUUUUCAUUAUGUUCGGACUAACAUUUGCCCCUUUUUAAUUGCUGGAUGUACCAGUCCAUUUCCCCUCCUCAAACGCACCUUUGAUUGGCUGAUGACUUGCAUCCAUUUAAAAUGUAUUUGUAUAUUUUAAAUGUAUUUAUUCAUUUUAUUUGUGUUAUACCCUGACCCUGAUUCAUUUAUUUAGACAGUCAAAGACAAAUGUUUAUAUAUUUUUUUGCAUUCCAGGAUGGUUCGAGAUAAUGAGCAAGUUUGUAUUUAUCAUUUAUGUUAUUAUAAUGUCAGUUAUGUUCAAAUAUUGCAAUUUAAAUUUGCUAAUAAAAUCAUUUUUGGAAAUUUUCAUAAUGUUUCUAUAGUAAUUUUGAAAACAAAGGUUUUAAUGGAACACUGCAUCACCUGAAC
This is a long non-coding RNA of Corythoichthys intestinalis (scribbled pipefish), 1481 nucleotides long. RefSeq lists it as uncharacterized. The record is from RefSeq and is a predicted model, not a curated record. The transcript has 3 exons. NCBI's taxonomy places the organism in Eukaryota, Metazoa, Chordata, Actinopteri, Syngnathiformes, Syngnathidae.